RNAcentral lists this transfer RNA (72 nucleotides) under Candidatus Kaiserbacteria bacterium RIFCSPHIGHO2_01_FULL_50_13. RNAcentral's name for it is "tRNA-Glu". It matches the Rfam family "tRNA". Rfam says of the family: Transfer RNA (tRNA) molecules are approximately 80 nucleotides in length. Their secondary structure includes four short double-helical elements and three loops (D, anti-codon, and T loops). The record is from RNAcentral. RNAcentral also lists the same sequence under 2 other names. Lineage: Bacteria; Candidatus Kaiseribacteriota.
GGCCCCAUCGUCUAACGGUUAGGACGUGACUCUUUCAAGGUCAAAACAGGGGUUCGACUCCCCUUGGGGUCA